CCCAUCGAGGACGUUCCGGAGCAGUCGCGACUCUCGAUCGCGGAGAUCCGCGAGUUCACCGGUCGGGUCACCGCCGACCGGUGGAC
Molecule: transfer RNA, 86 nt
Filed under: Halalkalicoccus paucihalophilus
Lineage: Archaea; Methanobacteriati; Methanobacteriota; Halobacteria; Halobacteriales; Halalkalicoccaceae
Description: tRNA-Glu
Source: RNAcentral